GAUAAACGCUAGCGGCAGGCUUAACACAUGCAGGUCGAGGGGCAGCAUAGAUUGUAGCAAUACAAUUGGUGGCGACCGGCGCACGGGUGCGUAACGCGUAUGCAACCUACCCGUCACAGGGGGAUAAUCCGGAGAAAUCUGGUCUAAUACCCCAUAACAUAUGGAUCGGCAUCGGGUCAUGUUGAAAUUUUCGGAGGUGGAGGAUGGGCAUGCGUAGCAUUAGCUUGUUGGUGAGGUAACGGCUCACCAAGGCGACGAUGCUUAGGGGGACUGAGAGGUUUUCCCCCCACACUGGUACUGAGACACGGACCAGACUCCUACGGGAGGCAGCAGUGAGGAAUAUUGGUCAAUGGGCGCAAGCCUGAACCAGCCAUGCCGCGUGCAGGAUGACGGCUCUAUGAGUUGUAAACUGCUUUUGUACAGGGAUAAAUCGGGAUACGUGUAUUCCGUUGAAGGUACUGUACGAAUAAGGAUCAGCUAACUCCGUGCCAGCCGCCGCAGUAA
Molecule: ribosomal RNA, 504 nt
Filed under: uncultured bacterium
Lineage: Bacteria
Description: partial 16S ribosomal RNA
Rfam family: Bacterial small subunit ribosomal RNA
Source: RNAcentral